RNAcentral lists this ribosomal RNA (436 nucleotides) under uncultured bacterium. RNAcentral's name for it is "bacterial SSU rRNA". It matches the Rfam family "Bacterial small subunit ribosomal RNA", at positions 340 to 767 of the family's 1533-position model. The record is from RNAcentral.
UACGGAAGGCAGCAGUGGGGAAGUAUUGCACAACGGGCGCAAGCCUGAUGCAGCCAUGCCGCGUGUAUGAAGAAGGCCUUCGGGUUGUAAAGUACUUUCAGUCGUGAGGAAGGUGUUAAGGUUAAUAACCUUAGCAAUUGACGUUAGCGACAGAAGAAGCACCGGCUAACUCCGUGCCAGCAGCCGCGGUAAUACGGAGGGUGCGAGCGUUAAUCGGAAUUACUGGGCGUAAAGGGCACGCAGGCGGUUAAUUAAGUUGGAUGUGAAAUCCCCGGGCUUAACCUGGGAAUGGCAUUCAAGACUGGUUAGCUAGAGUCUUGUAGAGGGGGUAGAAUUCCAUGUGUAGCGGUGAAAUGCGUAGAGAUGUGGAGGAAUACCGGUGGCGAAGGCGGCCCCCUGGGACAAAGACUGACGCUCAUGUGCGAAAGCGUGGGGA